Dipodomys spectabilis (banner-tailed kangaroo rat) is the source of this 271-nucleotide long non-coding RNA. RefSeq lists it as uncharacterized. Lineage: Eukaryota; Metazoa; Chordata; Mammalia; Rodentia; Heteromyidae. The record is from RefSeq and is a predicted model, not a curated record. The transcript is spliced from 3 exons.
UGGACACUGUGCGCUGUGCAAACACAUCUGUGAACAAAACACAGAAACCUCUAUCCUUGUGGAAGCAGGUUCUGGAACAGCCAGUGAAGUGUGUCAACAUGGGAAAGAAAGAGAAUAGACUUGCACCAGGGGAUGGAGAAGAAGAGCUGGAAGGAUCAAGUGGAGAGGGAAGGUUAGCAGGUCACAACGUCUUCGAGUCACUUUCAGUCCACAAGCGUUAAAGAAGACAACACCCGGAGUUGGUAAGCUCUAGCUCUCCAACUCCAUAAAG